UGGGGAAUAUUGCACAAUGGGCGCAAGCCUGAUGCAGCGACGCCGCNUGAGGGAUGAAGGCCUUCGGGUUGUAAACCUCUUUCGUCAGGGAACAAGGCACCGCUUUUUUGGUGGUGUUGAGGGUACCUGGAUAAGAAGCGCCGGCUAACUACGUGCCAGCAGCCGCGGUAAUACGUAGGGCGCAAGCGUUGUCCGGAAUUAUUGGGCGUAAAGAGCUCGUAGGCGGCUGGUCGCGUCUGUCGUGAAAACUUCCGGCUCAACCGGGGGCUUGCGGUGGGUACGGGCCGGCUAGAGUGCGGUAGGGGUAACUGGAACUCCUGGUGUAGCGGUGGAAUGCGCAGAUAUCAGGAAGAACACCGAUGGCGAAGGCAGGUUACUGGGCCGUUACUGACGCUGAGGAGCGAAAGCGUGGGGAGCGAACAGGAUUAGAUACCCUGGUAGUCCACGCCGUAAACGAUGAGUGCUAGGUGUUGGAUCCUUUCCGGGAUUCAGUGCCGCAGCUAACGCAUUAAGCACUCCGCCUGGGGAGUACGACCGCAAGGUUG
RNAcentral lists this ribosomal RNA (545 nucleotides) under uncultured bacterium. Its description in RNAcentral is "bacterial SSU rRNA". It matches the Rfam family "Bacterial small subunit ribosomal RNA", at positions 355 to 896 of the family's 1533-position model. The record is from RNAcentral.